This 7309-nucleotide long non-coding RNA is filed under the name Coffea arabica (coffee). Its description in RNAcentral is "long non-coding RNA (CARA_LNC003993)". The record is from RNAcentral. Lineage: Eukaryota; Viridiplantae; Streptophyta; Magnoliopsida; Gentianales; Rubiaceae.
UUUUUUUUUUUUUUUUUUUUUGGGAGGUUGGUAAUUGGGUGGGGGGAUUAUUGUUAUUCAGUUGGAGCUAGUGGUCUUGUACGUUAUUUCAUGGAAGUCCUUGCAAUGUGUUCAUCCGGCGCCUUUAAGGCUUAAAUUGAAGUUUAAUCAUUGUUUCACCAAAUUGUAGGUAUCAUUUGUGUUCUUUUUUCUUCUUGAGCAUCAUAUAUAUAUUGAAGAUCUUCUUUUUCUUUCUCGACCACAACCACAAAUGAAUCUGUCAUGGGCGCGUAAACGAUUUUGUGCUUAGUAGUACCGUUUGUUUAUUUGAGGAAAACGCUAGUGACAUACGACUUGUAUCGCAGACAUAAAUUAAAUGAUAACUUACUUUCUUGAUUUUGAAAAUUUUCAUAUUUAUAACAUGCCAUGACUUUUAAUCGCCCUUUUAGGUGAACUCUUUAACAACAAAAGAUACUAGAUAUUUUGUUGGAAUCCUGCAUCACCUAAUGAUCAUAGUUUUUGGAGAUGAUUUGUCUAAACUAUAUGGCGACCAACUAGAUCAUGACUCGAUUAAGACAAGGGUCGACCUUAAUUGUCUUAAAUCCGUCACCACUAUUUUAUCUACCUGUAGUUCAGCAAUCUAUUGAUCAAUCUACCACAACUGUUGGGACAACGUAAUCGCUUUGGGAAUAACUUCCUUGGGCGUCCUAAAUGUGUGUGUUUUGUUUACUUUCAACCUUGGACUUGGAUUUUGGAAGGUACUUGCCGAAUGCUGAGCAACACUUAUCAGUCAUGGAUCCCCGGAAAAAAAAAAAAAAAAAAAAAGGAAGCUGAAAGGGCAAAAUGAAACUUUAGUUUUGUUACUUUCAGGUUUAACGAAAGUGUAGAUCGAAGUAGCAAUCUUAAUUCAGACACAUUUGACUUUACGGCGUCUGUAAUACUCCCUCCGUCCCACUUUAAUAGUCAUGUUUCUUUUUUCACACAAUUUAAGAAAAAGUAGUUAACUUUGUUGGAAAAGUAAAUUUAGAUUGCUAUUUUCCUAAAAUACCCUCACAUUAAAUACGGUACAAUUUUAUGGAAAUUUGAAUUGAUAGUAAAAAAAGAAUCAACUCUCAUUAAAUAGGGUAGGUUUAUAGUAACAACUACUUACAUUGAAUAAGGGUAUUUUAGAAAAAUUAAAAUACAACUACAUUCUUCAUUUGGAAAGUGAAUUAUAAUUUGGGACAGAUGAAAAAGGAAUACAGGAUUAUCAAAGUAGGACGGAGGGAGUAAUAUAUAAACUACUGAAACCAAAUGCUCGUAUUAUGUGUAGAAUAUAUGGCUUAAAGAAAAUCAAGUACACUUAGGGUCUGUUUGUUUCGGGUGAAAAUGUUUUCCAGGAAAAUAUUUUCCUAAUUUCCCGUGUUUGGUUGCACAAAAGUUACUGAAAACAUUUUUCUAUGUAAAAUAUUUUCACUCAUCUUAUGGAAAACAACUUCCCUUCCAAACUUAUUGAAGUUGUUUUUCGAAAUGCAUGCAUCCCGCCUGUAGUAUGUUCCAAACUUAUUAAAAACAUCUUGUAGUAUGUUCUUUUUUUUUUUGUGUAAACAGGAGGAUUCGAACCCAAGAACUCUUCCUUACACUCCCUCCCCCGUACCACCCAACCCUUCCCUAGUAUAUUUAAAAUUUAAAAAAAAACUUUCAUCCUGCUCAUCCUAUGCUAGUAAUUAAUUAUGUAUAAUAUGGACAUUCUUUUCUAGAGAAACUUUCAGCAGUGAGAGUGCAAGAUAUAUGUCACAAUAAGCAUUGCAUGUGAUUGAUAUUUGACACUAAAUGGCCAGCAGUUUGUUUAUUGCUUAAGGAGAUAUUUUUUAUUCAUAUAUACAUUUCUCCAAGAUUUUUUAAAGUUAAACAAUGAGAUAAAUUUUCUUAUUUUGCAUGGGAAGAAGUAUGUAAUUAUAAUGUGUAGAAAGUAAAGAUAGAGAUAAACGUGAAAAUAUUUCAAAAGUUUAACAAACACCAGAAAAAUGAAGUAAGAAAAUAUUUUCAAUAAACUAACCAAACACCUGAAAAUGAUGAAAGGGAAAUGAUUUUCAUGGAAAAUUACUUCCACAGAAAAUAUUUUUCCAAGAAAAACAUUUUACUUCCAACCAAACAGACCCUUAAAAUGCAGAAAUUCUAUCUCAGCUCACCCAUGUGGAAGUUUGAACACUUGCAUUAAUAGAGAAAGUCAAUUAGAAGUAAUUAAAAAAAUCAGUAUCAACUAAACCAUGGAUUUGAAUAGUAUAGGGUCACUUAAAAGUAAAAAGCUAAAAAAAUUGAAGAGUACGUAUACUAAAAAAAUUGAAUCACCCAACCCCCUCUUUCUCUCCUUGGGAGGGGGAGAGGGAGAGUGGGGGACCUCAACCUAUAUGGUGCACAUUGGAUUUCUUAUCCAUGGUCGGUUGGGAAGACCUGGAUUUUCAAUCGUGGCACGUAUAAAUACGAAGUAAUUGUGAUUUGGAUUCACCAUGGGGCAAUGGAUACAACUAUUUUGGAUUUCUUUGGUUAUGGAAGCACACAAUUUUCACAUGUAUACUAGCUAGAGUAUCGCAUAUGAUACUCGUACAAAUAGAUACUAGCCAGUUGAUAAAUUGAUGUCCAGACAAAUUUUCCUGCGUAUCCAAAUCGAUUGUUAACGCCGACAAUAUACUGUUCCAUAUUCCAAAUUAAAUAGAGGACGAUAUACAUACAUACUUGCUAAGUUGAACAGGAAGUGCCCAAGGGGUUACGUACUUCCCCUCGUCCAGAUAUAGCUUCUAGUUUUCUACUGUAACCCCCACAGCCGUAACUUUGUUUUGCAGGCUGAGAAAUGAAUUCAUCGUUUUAAAACUGAAGUUUUGAAAGCUUAUAAUCCCCUCCUACUUGCUUAAGUUUUGGUUUUCCUUGAACAAGAAUGAAAUUCACGGCUGCGCUUUAAUUGGUGUUGAUUUUUAGCUACUUCUAGUUACCAGAGUCGGGCAUGCAUAAAGUAUACAUCAUAGCAAGAGUAGAUGGUUAGAACUAACAAGGAGUUGAACCACUACUACUCCUGACCAUAAAAAUUAAAGGGGAAAAAAGAAAUUUUUUUUUAAAAAAAAAAAAGAAGAAGAAAGAAAGAAAGAAAAUAAGGGCUAUGGGGUGAAUGGUAGGAUCAUUAAGAUUGAGUUCUGAAGAGAAUCCGAACCAAACAGAAAAAAGUUGGAUGAAAACUCAAAAAUAGGGACUUUUUGCGGCAGCAUUGCUAUUUGCUGCCCCCCUGCCACAUUCUGAAAUGCGUUCCCUCAAGAUGUAUUAUAGGCUCCAAGAUGAGCAGAGACUUAGAGACACCUGAAAAAAAAAAAAAGAAAAAUCGCCAAGAAUCAUCCAAACAAACAUUAUUGCCUGGUGGAGCCUCAUGUCUGGAAUAGUGGGAAGCCAAAGUUGAGAAUUAUAGAAGGAUUGAGAAAAAAGACGACUACUACUACAACUACAACUACUAAAGCCAACACUGACGCAGAAGCCACUAUUUCCUGCUAACAAGGCUGGCCUGCGAGCAAGCAUAUUCACAGAUGUUGAUUCUGCCGCAGUCUUGAAUUGCACUUCCUACUUCCUACCCUACUAUUUCUACUUCUCAGUUAUACUACUAUUUCCCUUUUUGCGCUGAAGAAACGAAUCAGAAACAUGAAAAGGGCUAACGAAUUUAUAGCCAAGGAACAAUAAAAACGGAGAGAAAGCGAAAGGCGUGCCCCUCCCUUCGCUGCUGAGACUGAUCCGCAUACCCCUUAAAAGAUGUCUCGAACAGAGUGUCUUUUCAUGAGCUUUCUUUGUUAAUACUGACUACAUCAUUGCACCAACUUUCUUGGUUAGCUUUCUAGUUUGGUUCUGUUCUUUUUGAACCAGAAAGCUAAGCUAGGAAUUCGUUAGCAACCAAAUUUAUUACUUAAUUUCAAUCCGAUAAUGUAUUUUGGACUAGAUCAUCUGCAACAACAGCAUUUUUUUUUCCUUUGAUAAGAAUUGGAUGGUUUUGGCUCCAAUGAGUCAAGACAUGUCUCUGAAACUGUAAGUUACUCACAAGAUUGCUUAUAGAUCACUUACUAUUAUAACCCUCAAGUCUACAGUAAAAAUUGUAACCCUCAAAUCCACAGUAGAACCCUAACAGGCGGACCUUUUGCAAAGAAAUGAUCCGUGCUAACAAGUUAAUCUGAUAUGUGUUGGCCAACAAUAGCUGCAUGCCAUGCAGCGCUUCUUAUGAUGGCAAUUUUCUCUAAUGUGGAGAACGAAUCGCUGGGUUCGUACGCGAGUCAUUGCGUGCUCACUCUACUCGAUGUACAUUGUUAGUGGUAAAAAACUAAGACCCCUAAUAACCUCUUCCCAAUAAUUAAAAAGAAAUGAAAAGAAGUCAGACAAGAAAUGAGCACCGAAAUUUAGAAAUGAAAUAAUAAACAUAUCUAGCAAUGUAUAGCUCGAAGCAAAUUAUUACUAUGCCUUUUCUCUUCUCACAUUAAAUCCCAAAAUUUCUGACAUAAUUGGCCCCCCCCCCUUUUUUUUCUCUAUCUGAAGAGAGGAAUCACAAUAUAUAUUGCUCAUGUUUGUACUGCUUUAUACAUGUGCUGCACUCACUCUCUCUCAAGAGUCAAGAGUGAGAGACUAGAGACUAGAGGGAUUGGGACGAAAACAUAGUUGGAUGAGUAACAGUUACAGUUAGCAGCGUCUGUCGUGACGUCCAUUAUUCAGGACGUGGAUGGGACUUACCAAUCGACCGUGGCUCAUAUCAUAUGUGUUAUAACCUCAAAGGACUCUACGUACGCAAUUUCUUUGUGCAUAUUGAGAUGCGAAAUGUUGCAUUCUCACAUGUUGAAGGAAUAAUUGCCGGUCGACCAGUAUUUUCAGAGUCCUCACCCGAUGGUACCCCCUCCCAAGCAAUCAAGAAAAGGGAAAAGGAAAGAAAUUGAAGCUGAGAAGUUAAUGGCGUGGAUUGGUUACUGGAUGAUAUUCUUCCUUUCAUGAGGCCUAUAUAGGAGCAGCCGUCUCCAUCCGAAAUGAAACUUAUGCCAACAUCCACAGGCUACUAUACUGUGCAGCAGAGUUUAGUGUAAGCGAGACUCAUUCAUUCAACAACUUUCUAGCAGCUACGCUCUGAUACUGUAGUAGCAGCACACUUUAUCAGAGAGAGUUCCUUUGAUCAUGUGAGACUGUCUGAGUCGGUUUUAAUUAAGUCAAACCUCAUCUUCUUCUUCUUUUUUUUUUUUUUUUUUUGGGGGGGGGGGGGGUGUUCGUGUGAUUCAGCUGGUUUUAACAAAAUAUAUAUAGUAGUAAUGCAGGAACAAAUAAAAAUUUUUUUUUUUUUUUUUUUUGUUGUUUUUGUGUGUGUGUGUGUGUGGGGGGGGGGGGGGUUGUUAGGGAGGGUAUUGAGGAACGUGUUGCUGUCGCUUACUCUUGACGCCAUGGAUUAUGGAUAUGGAAAUAAAAAAAAAUGGCAUAUGUUCUUCUAGUAUUGUUCUUUGAUCCUCCAUUGCAUCUUUCCAUGUGAAAGCCAACAGAUAUAUAGGCGGCUUGCCUUUGAACCAGCAUAAUGUAAAUUGUCUCUCGUUUUCAUCAUAAUCUCUCCUGAUUAAUGAAGACUUUCGGUUCCGCUAAUCCCCUAACUGUUUGGAUGUUAAUUAAUUGAGUUCUAUGCAGUUCAUGGAUCAGAGUAGGAUUAAAUGACAUUAAAUAAUUUAAUUGAUCUCGAUCGUGUUAUUUCCUAUGGAGCCGCAUAGAGUUAACACUUGCUACCAUCUCAAUUUCCAUAGUCGGAUGAUCGCUUAAAAUGAGACGUUGAGAACAGUUAACUGACCAUUGCAAAACAAAAAGAAAAGAAAGAAUGAAGCCAUAAUAUUAAUUUGAGGCUUCGAAUGCCGAAAUAAUUUGUCUAACUCGAUGUUGAAAGGUGUACAAGAUGCUUGAAGAAGAAGAAGGAGGUAGGCGGAUAAUGAUGAAUGGAUGUAGUUGUACAGUGCGCGUUAAAAAAAAAAAAAAUAUCUGAGAAAAAGAUCUGCCCGUCGGUCGUGUCAGGGAAGGUACCGGCUGGCUGCUAAAUCCAAAAGUCUAUUUUGUCCUCCAGGCGGACAUGGAUCGUGGGAGAUGCCACACUUUGGGCCUCUAAGGACACAUGGGACGUUCGUUGCCAUGGGACUCAAAUAGACGCGUGCACGAUCCACUUGCCUCAAACGGCAUCAGUAGCUGGAUGACUAAUCCGCAUAUCCGAUCCAUCCCGCUCUCUCCCCCCCCCCCCCCCCAAAUUAUUAAAAAAAAAAUCAAAAUAUAUUUUAAUGUUCUCGUACAUUACCAAAAUACUAGUAAUGAUCAUCAUUAUCAUAAUCCGACUAAAGGCAUCGGCCAAGACUCUGAUUUGAGAUCAAAGGUUAGGAAAGUUCUUUUUCAUUGUCGUUACAAAUUGGGGGUUUGGCUGAUCAAUCCUAAACGCUCAUUUACUCGACCGUCAAGAAAAAUUACAACACUUAUGUGCUGAUCCACCUGUCGCCUAUGUAAAGGAUGCAUUUUCCACCAAAUACAUUUGGACCAUAUGUAUCUUACACGUUUCUUCGAACAGGCUGUUCUCCUUGUUCCUUAUGCUAUAAACGAAGAGAGUCAAUUUCUGUUGACGUUAUUUUUGUAACUGAUUUUUUUUUUUAAAAAAAAAAAAUCGAUUAAAUUCAUUAUUCAUUAAUUUGUAGAUAAAAAGGGCACAUUAAAUUCAAAACAGAUAACCCAUCAAUUUCGAUAUAUUAAUCAAACCAGUGCCCCUUUUUUUUUCUUUUGGAAAAUUAGUUUAACUAAUUCCUAAAAUUGAGCGCAUUUGAGAGGUAACAUUUAUAAUGUGACUCAAUAUUUAGAAGAAAAGAAAUCAGCAUCGUCCCAAUAACGAAAGAGGAACUCUUACUAUGGAUAUAUCGCCAUCUUAGUAGCAGAUAGCAUCUUUCCCUAACGAACCGAAGGACAGCCUAGUCUUCUUGUCGGAUCCGAAGCUGAACUUAAGAUCGUCUGCAUCAACUUGAGCAGAGGCACUACUUGUCGAGGGGAAUGGGAAUGAAAACACAAGCGCUGGAGUUGACCUCUUAGUGCCAAAACUGUAAGCAGGAACUGCAGGCAAUUCAUUUGGCUGAGAUACCACCUCAAUCAAAGAGAAUGGCAUGACGGAGGGUGUUGGUGGCUCUGACAAUAUACUGGACGAGGCGGAUACAGGGAAGGCAAAUGCAGAGCCAUUAUCAGAUGACACGGCACGACUCAGAUCGUGCCUCCCAACAGAAAUUUGUGGCAAAGUCGGCCUUGUCCCAGAUGAGUGUGGUGGUGGCUUCUUUGAUGGCUCAAG